Antechinus flavipes (yellow-footed antechinus) is the source of this 1740-nucleotide long non-coding RNA. RefSeq lists it as uncharacterized. Lineage: Eukaryota; Metazoa; Chordata; Mammalia; Dasyuromorphia; Dasyuridae. The record is from RefSeq and is a predicted model, not a curated record. The transcript is spliced from 2 exons.
AUGAUUUGAGCGAUUAAACGUUUGAGCUGGAAGGGAUGGAUGUACGUUAGGUACAACCCCUUUUUGGCAGAAGAGGGAACUCAGUUUCACAAAAGGGAAGCGAAUUACCUAAAAUCAAAUGCAUAGUAAAUAACACAGUAGGGAUUUCUGUCUCUAUUUCUCUGUCUCUUGCUGGCUCUCUCUGUUUCUAUAUCUGUCUGUGUCUCUCUGUCUCUUUGCUCACUGUUUUUGUCUCUGUCUCUUCUUUGUUUCUUUCUGUGACUGUUUCUGUCUCUCUGUCUUUCUUUCCUCCACGAAACCUGUCAAAUGGAGUAAUUUAAAGCAGUAAUUCCUUUAAAACAGUAAUUCCCAAUUUAGAGUAUGGGAGCUUUGUCAAGGGGAGUAAUGGGAAUAUUUUAGAACUAACUGUAUCAUCCUUUUGAAAUAAAUCAAUCUCUUUCUUUUUUUUUAAUAGUUUUUUUAUUUUCAAAAUAUAUGCAAAGAGUUUUCAGCAUUCACCCUUGCAAAACCUUAAGUUCCAAAUUUUUCUCCCUUCCUUCCUCCCCCCCCCAACAGCAAGUAAUCCAAUAUUAUGUUAAACAUGUGCAAUUCUUCUAGACAUCUUUCUACAUUAUCUUGUUGCACAAGAAAAAUCGCAUUUUUGUAUUUCUUAAAUUACCACGUGUAUGGUAAUUCUAGAAUUUAUUGUCUUUAAUAUCGAAUAAGGGUACAGGAAAGUUUGUCAAAAGUCAAGAGGCACAGGUACCAAAAGAAGAUUGGGAAUCGUUGCUUUAGAAAUAAAAGCAAAACAAACUACAGAGUUGAAGCCGCUGCUUUCUUCCCUCUGAGACGGAUCCUGGGGAAUUCGUUUACCCUCAGCGCCAUAAGACUGAUACCAAGCAGGUCCUAGGUCCGUCUUCCGCCCAGUAUAACCCGGUACAAGAAAGCAGAGAGAGCUCCCUGCAGUGUCCCCCCCUCACCUCGGGGACCACUUGGUCUCCAGAAGUUUCCAGUACCUUCUCUACUGAGCCGCAGUGUCCGUCUGCUUUGGCGCCACCCCUUUUUCCCGCUCCUCUUCCUCGGUCCGCUGGGGAUACUAUUAGUGGUUCAGGGGUGCCCUGCGGCACAGAAGUGUGCACUCCUCCAGGCAGAACUGAGGGUAGGUUUUAGACCGCGGAGAUCUGCAGGUGCCCGGGGACUGCCAGGGGCUGUUACCCAACCUGGGCUGGAAAGAGGCUUAAAGGAGUUGGGUGAGCAGGUGAACCGCGCGGCCUCGGAGGACUGUGGAACUGGAAGCAACAACUCUCAGUAAGAUGAUUUCCCUUCCUCCUUUUCAGAAGCUAAAACGCACACGACCUUCGCCGUUAGAUCUGAAAUCUAUGUCGCGGUCCCUGUGUUAUAAAGGUGGCAACGUCUUGUUAAUGUGUCAAAAAACAUGUGUUUUGAAGAUGUGCUCAUCUUCACCUUAGCUAGUGUACACUUGGAGUUUCACGUUUUCUGCCACGAGCUGCCCUCAAUCUACUGAAGCACCCAGCUGUUCCUACACCUGAAAAGAAUGUUGGUGUUGUCGCUGAUAAGGAUGGAUGGACCGGAAAAGGGGAAAGCUGGGGAUAAUUGGUUUCUGCUGUAGGAUACCAGUCUGGUGUAGGCUAUCUUGUCUCUCUCACUAAUGAAAAAUAAUGAUGAAGCAGUUGAUAAUGGUUAUUUGGCUGCUUUGCAAGGGAUGGCAAUAAUUUAAAAUAGAAAGCUGAACUUGAAAAA